CGCCUGAGAUUUAAUAUUUGGAUCGAUAUCUUUUUCUGUUUUUAAUUUUUGAAUUAAUGAGCAAUGAGAUAUAAAUCUUUUAUUUUUCGAUAAAUUGUAAAUUUUUGAGAAUAAGAUAAGUAAUAUCGAGGUAUGUAUUUUUUUGUAAAAAUUGUAAAAGCAUAUUUGAUAUUGUUUCUUUGUUUGAUUCAUUCUUUUAAUGAUUUCAGGUUAUAUUUAAAUAUAUAUCUGGACAAAAAACCCGAAGUUAAAAAUAAACAUUGGACCAAAAUAAAUAUGGAACAAAGAAAAUACAGAGACCUUGAGUGGCGCCUUAAUUUACAGACUUUAAUUCCUCGUGACGGAUCUUUAUAUAUUUUCUCCAUGAAUUCCUCGUAAUCUCGUUCCUAUUCAUUCAUUUUUUACAAAUAUAUUCCCAGGAAAGUAAUGUUUCAUUCUAACCAUUUUUUAUUAUUUAAUUAAAAAGAGAAUGGUUUAAUUUAAUAAAAUAUUACGAUUCAUUAAUUUCUAAAUUUUUUUUCUGAAAUUAAAUUUUCAUAACUAUAAUUACAUUUCAUUUUAAUACUCACCAUUUUCUAUUAUUCAAAAAAAUUCUAAUAUUUAAGAAGAAGAAAAAAAAAUUAUAGGAUAAACACAGGAAAUAUUUAAUUACUUUCUUUUCUAAUUCUUUAAAAUUUUCAGAUCAUCUCGACAAAAUCCACGAGAUACGCUCGCAAUGAACGACGAACGUGUACUGAACUCGAAUUGCCGAUCUUCCGCUUACCUCUGCCGUGUUGAUUCUCAUGGCCGGCACCUGGUUAGGUACCGGAGGCGGUGGUGGCGGUGGAGGAGGCGGAGGAUAAAGUCCUGCAACGAUUACCGAUUUAAUGGAAUGCUAACGAGAGGUCAGAAGAUGAUAAAGGAGGAUAGAAAGAUGAAA
Apis dorsata (giant honeybee) is the source of this 919-nucleotide long non-coding RNA. RefSeq lists it as uncharacterized. The record is from RefSeq and is a predicted model, not a curated record. The transcript has 2 exons. NCBI's taxonomy places the organism in Eukaryota, Metazoa, Arthropoda, Insecta, Hymenoptera, Apidae.